GACGGCGGCGACAUGAUGGACGACAAGGGCGACGAGGUGGUCGGCGUCGUGGCGAUGGACAUGUCGCUGGGCACGCCGGGGCACGCCGUCAUCCUGGGCGUGGUGCCGGCCGACGGCAAGGGCGCCAAGUCCACGACGCUGUCGCAGGCCCUGGCCCACAUGAAACCGUACAAGAAGCACCACACCAUCCACCUGGCCAAGCCCACCUCCACGCUGUGCACCACCACGACCACGUCCACCACCGCCACCGCCGUGUCCGCGCUGCUGGGCCAGGCCAUCCAGGCGCAGGCCCUGCAGGCCAAGUCCAUCCACGCGCCGCCGCUCGUGCUGACCAAGGCCGCGCAGGCCGCCAUCAACAAGCCCACCACCAGGUCCGCCACCGGCAGCCUGGCGCUGCCCGAGGACAAGACCGCCAGGGCCGCCGCCACCCCCAUCGGCACAGAUGGCGAGCCGAUCAAGCUGCCCGACAACCUGGAGAGCCUGCCGCGCGCCGAGCACUUCCCCAGCAUCCGCCACCGCUGGAACACCAACGAGGAGAUCGCCGCGGUGCUCAUCGCCUUCGAGCGGCACGCCGACUGGCAGUCCAAGGAGGUCAAGAUCAGGCCCAAGAGCGGCUCCAUGCUGCUGUACUCCCGCAAGAAGGUGCGCUACCGCCGCGACGGCUACUGCUGGAAGAAACGCAAGGACGGCAAGACGACCCGCGAGGACCACAUGAAGCUCAAGGUCCAGGGCACCGAGUGCAUCUACGGCUGCUACGUGCACUCCGCCAUCCUGCCCACGUUCCACCGACGCUGCUACUGGCUGCUGCAGAACCCGGACAUCGUGCUGGUGCACUACCUGAACGUGCCGUACCCGGACGACAACAAGAUGGUGUCCAUCUCGCCCAGCCUGGCGCUGUGGGGUGACAAGAAAGAGUGGACGAAGGAGGAGCUGGUCUCGCAGCUGAAACCCAUGUGUGAGUCCCUGGGCCGUGUGCCCCGAGGAGCCCACCAUCGACACACGGCGUCCCACCACCAGAUGCAUCCCUUUUCCAACUCCUCGACCGUUUACAGCGAGGAUGAGCCGGACCACAACAACGAGCUCGAGAUAUCGACGGCCGAGACGGUCGAGUCCAUCGUGACGCAGCUGAUGGAGCGGCAGCGGGCGGCGCGCUCGGCCGCGCUGGCCAAGCAGCUGGAGUGCGGGUGUCCGGACUCGACCUGCGCCGACGGCAAGACCUGCUCGCACCCCAUCCGCCGCAUCACGUCGGCCAAGCCGCAGCUCACCACCGUCACCAUGGACCGCAGCAACCAGGUGUCGUCCACGACGGGCACGGGCUCGGGGACGCUCAUCACCCAGACGCAGAGGCACCACGCGACGCAGCACACGUCUCAGCACACCGCGCAGCACACCGCGCAGCACCAGAUCCACCUGUCCGAGACGCACCAGCAGCAGCUGCAGCAGCGCGUCACGGCGGCGGCGCAGCAGCAGCAGCUGCAGCAGCACCACCACCAGGCCGGCCAGCUGGUGCAGCAGGCGCCGCCGCUGGUGCUCAGCCUGUCGCAGAUCCAGACGAGCAGCCUGCUGAUACUCAACAACGCGGCCAACGGCCAGGCCAACCUGGGCCCGGCCUCCGCGCACCAGCACCAGGUCGCCACCGUCACGUCCUUCGUGCGCAACGUGCCCGGCGUGGCGCACCUUCCCCACCACCCGCACCACCACCACCACCUCAAGCCGCCCAACGCCUCGGCCACGGCCGCGGCCGCCGCCGUGGUGGAGGCCGCGGGGCUGUCGGGCAAGACGGUCGUGUCGGAGGCCUCGUCGCUGCACGCCGUCAUGAAGCAGGAGCAGGAGGCCAUGGACAUGAACACGUGCCGCAUGGCGGCCAUGACUGCCGUCAGCCAGAGCAGCAGCACCGUCGUCAGCGUCACCAGCCACAACAUGGACGUCACCAACGGCAACAUCGCAGAUUUUGUCAUGUAUGACAAUAUUGGAUUCAGUCAAGAAACUCAACACCUUCAAGUGGUCAGCAGUGCUACUAAUCAGCAAGCAAUACAUGUUGACAAAGCAAUGAGUAGCCCCCCAUCUCCCUCAAAGCAAAUGGACACCAGAUGCAGUCCAGACAUGCUUGUCACACAUCAGACUUUCUGUGAUGAUGCAGUAGGCAAUGAGAGUUGUGGCAACAAGUCCAGUGGGACUAGUGGGGCCAAUAGCAGCAGUGACGGAAGCACCACUGCAGGCUUCUUCGAUGCUCUAGAAAUGACGCAGGAGGACAUUCAACGAACAUUGUCUGCUAAUAUGCCAAUGUCUUGUGCAUCUGAUCAGAGGCUGCAUACUCCAAUGGAUACUGUCCCAUCCGUGCAGGAAACUAGUCCAGAUGAAAUGUCUCCUCACGACUUAAAUCCCAUGGACUUUAUUGAAGGCUGUGAAGUAGUGUCAGGAGCUGCAGAUGAUGAAGAUGUAUUUGUUAAUCUGGACGCCUUUGACAUGCUUGGUGAUUUUGUAGAUAUAGAUGGCCUAGAUAACACAGCAGAGAAUUCAUCUCAAAGUUCAAGAAUUAUGAUAAAUUCUGAAAAUUCUGAAUCCCCUUCAGUAGGAUCAAUAGAAUUAACUCAUCAACAACCUCAGUACCAAGAACAAACAACACUUCUUGAAAUAAAGCCAGACCAUGAUGCUGUUCUUAGUCAUUUAAAACAAGAAGAGCCUAGCCCUUUAGAAGAAAAUCAACAGCAGCAACUGCAACAGUUACAGCCUCAGCAAAUUAAUGGAAAUGUCAAUAGCAGUGAAACAAGUCUUCCAUCGGUUGAAAUUACCGAAUACUCGCCUGAAUGGGCAUAUCCUGAAGGUGGUGUAAAGGUGUUGGUCACUGGACCGUGGUAUUCAUCUUCUCCCUACACAGUUUUAUUCGACACGUUCCCUGUGUCCACAACGUUGGUUCAAGAUGGUGUGUUACGUUGCUACUGUCCAGCUCAUGAAGUUGGAUUAGCUACACUUCAAGUUGCUUGCGAUGGUCACAUUGUUUCAAAUUCUGUGAUGUUUGAAUAUAAGGAACCACCCAAGUCUCCUGUAGAGGCUGUUGGCACAGCACUCCAAGAUCAGAAGCGUGAUACUGCUGACUCCAAUUCUUUGCUCAAACUUACCCUACUUCAUAGACUGGAGGCAGUAAACCAACGGCUUCACAUUAAACAAGAACAAAGUGAUCAUUGUUCAGACCUGAUGGAAAGCGUAGGUGACUUGGAGGAAAGGCUAGUGGCACGAUGCAGACGAAUGUCCUCCUGUCAGUGGAAGGAUGUUGAAAUGCCAGUUCUUACAAGCCAUCGCAAUAUGACACUUCUACAUCUCGCAGCAGCAUUGGGGUAUCCUAGGCUCAUUUGUGCCCUUAUUCAUUGGCGAGAGGAAAAUUCAUCUCCAAUAUUAGACUUAGAAGUUGAUGCAUUAUCAAAAGAUGAAGUUGGUUUCACCCCUUUGAUGUGGUCCUGCUCUAAAGGCCAUAAUGAUGCGGCCUUGGCUCUGUACCGAUGGAAUCACUCUGCAUUGGAUUUAGUCAACAUCUUUAAUCAAAGUGCUUUAGAUGUUGCAAGAUUGUCUGGUUUUACCUCUCUUGCAUCGGAAGUUACUAAGUUAAAGAAUGAACGUCUCAAAACUAAUGCCCUUUCUCCAUCAAGCCAAUCAAAUGAUAUGCUGUCGCUUCUCUUUCCUCCAUCUCCUUCCCCAUCAUCUGGGCUUUCACCAUGCAGCUCAGUUGUUUCAAUACCAUCAUCUGCAGCGUCAUCCUCUGCAUCUACAUGCACCUCUGCUUCAGCUACUGGAACAGAUGUUUCACAGGACAGCUUAUUGGAUACAAACUCAUGGGCUUCAUUGUCAUCAUCCAGGUCUCACGAUGGGGUUUUCUUAAGACCCUUAGCAACAAGAACUCGAAGUGACGGCCAAAAACUCAAAAAUCUAGAGCUCCAAGUAAACAUUCCCCCCUCCACAUCAGCCAUGCUGAAUAACUUAGAAGCUGCAACAGAGUCAGAACCUGGAGAGAUACGACAAUCACAAUCCCUAAAACGUGGAUCUCAUCAUCUUGUAAAGAGACCAUCUGUGGACAGUGGCAUCAACCUUGGUUCUGUUCAGUCUGUUCAAUCUUCGUGUGACAGUCUCUCAUCUCUUAGAUCACUUCGAAGCAAUCGGUUUAACAGAGACAACUCUCGCAUAUCAAGAUUUGACCGCAGUAUGUCACUUCCACUAAAUUCACCUAAAUCAGCAAGUGAUUUGUUUGGGUCAAAUGGCUGUAAUUCACCAGCACGCAAAGGAGACUUCUCUCUAUGCGAAGUUACAUCUGGAGACCGGAGUGACAGUCCCCUAAUCGACAUAGAAGGAGUUUCGGAUGAAGACUCGGAAAGCAGGGAAAGUGUUGUAGGGCAGCAAGAAGUUCGUGUAUUAACUUUGGCAGAGCAAAUAAUUGCAGCAAUCCCAGAAAGAAUAAAGAAUGGAAGUGACGAUUCUAUGAUGAGUGAUGAUAGCUCCUCUCCUGGUGAUCAGAAGAAUGAAGGCCUUGAUGUGUUUAUGGACUCAUCCCUCUUGGAUGAGCCACCCUCUUCUGCCUUUGAAUCCAACGAAUUCAACUUUGAAUUCAGUGAUCAUAACUAUCGAUACUAUGAUGUGAGCACACCUAGUUCUAGUCUCAGCCCCUCAUCAAGUUGUCUUCAAUCACCUUGCUCCUUUGUGUUGGAACCCUCACCAUCACCUCCCCCUACAACAGCAGACUUCUGUGAAUUCUUUCAGGCUUCAGGAUCUCUUUUUGAAAAGGAUUUCUCUAAUCUAACUCUGUCAGAUCGUGAACAGAGGGAGCUCUAUGAAGCUGCAAAGAUCAUUCAAAAAGCAUACCGGUCUUACAAAGGACGUAAAAUUGCUGAGGAACAGGAAAAAGAGCGUGCUGCUGCUAUUUUAAUCCAAAACUACUACCGACGCUACAAACAGUAUGCGUACUUCAAACAAAUGACUCAUGCAGCAACAGUAAUUCAGAAUGGGUUCCGUUCUUAUCAAGAGCACAAGCGCUUCAAGAAAAGUAAAGAAGCAGCUGUGUGCAUUCAAACAUACUACCGUAAUUACCGUGAUCAUGGAGGACGAUCAUCCAGUUCUAGUCCAAGCUUUGAAAGCACUCCGUCCUCUGGUCUCAAGCGGACCUAUUCUCAGCGCCGACAGCAUCAAGCUGCCAGAAAAAUUCAACAAUUUAUGCGUCAAUCUAAAAACAAGUUGCAGACAGAACGAGCUUUGGCAGUCGCAAAAGAGAAGCAGUGGGGCCUGUCGGAGUUCCUGGCUGCCCACCGAAAGUAGCCUUAUCACGAAACUUUGGACUGAUUCAACACCGUUCAAAAUAAGAGCAGCAGUGUCUUUGUGAAAAAGGCAGAAAUACAUACUUUUAAAUUGCAGCAUAUUUCUAGUGUUGCCACUCUCUCACUACAAUGCUCACCUCAAAUUUGCUUUUGUACCUCUUAAAGCACUUUGCCGAGGAAAUUCGUAAUAAGAUUACUGUAUUUAAUGAUAUUUGCAAUCACCACCAUUGAUUCUGGUUCAAAAACUUCUGGUAUUGUUUCAGUGUUGUUUGGUGUGUUAAGUUCUGUUAGUCUGUGGUAAACUUACUUCUGUGUGUGCUGUGCAUUGCAAAACACUUAUCCAAUGAUCGGAUUUUUGAAUGUGCACUUUUGAAUGUUGAUGACUCCCUGGCAUCAAUGUUUCAAAACUGUAUUAUGAAGGCUUUUGUGGUUGUGCUGGGUCUUCUUAUUUCUCUAUUUCCCCUAGAUUUAGAGCAUUUCUUUACAUUGUUCAAAUCAGGUGAGGAAGCCAGGGUAUUUUCUAAUAUCUCCCUUAAUGUUAUGUAUAUUCCACAUUUGUGGCGAUAUUUUUAUUCUUAUUUCUCGCAUCCAGAGUCCAGUUAGCCCCUGUUUUGUGCCAUUUUCUGCAACAUAAAGUUUUAAAAAAGUCAUUCAGAACACUUAUGUGUAUUCUUUCAAAUAUAUUUAUGAUUUUUAAUCAUGUUAUGAUAUUUUUAACCUUUGGUGCUUUCAUUUAGUGGUGCAGGAUUUAGAAAAGAAGCAUUCCUUAGUAGUCACACCAAAUCAUCAAGCUAAUUCUGUAUCCUCCGUCUUUGAAAGGUACUGUUGUUAAGUUCUGUUUUAAAAAUUUACAAGAACGGAUUUAUGGGAAUGUUAUUGUGAAGUUUAAUGAGUACCUUCUGUUAGAGGCCGGUCCUCAAAUGUACCUAUUGUUUGCUGUUCAUAUUGUUAUGUAUAAAAUGUGUACAUCCAUCCAUUCAUCCAUUUCAUUCAUCCAUUUAGAUGAGCACUCAUUAUUGAUAUGCAGCUCAUUAGUGUUAUUAAUACUUCUUGUAAAUAUGAGGAAUAUUGUGUGACCUCUGCGCCUCUCUUAUAUGUCCUCUCUAAAAGGGGUGAAGUUUUCUUGACGAUUUUUCCUUCCAAAUACUCUUGUAGUAUGUUCUGCUCAGUGGAAAAUUAAUGUUGAAAAUUUAAGGGCACAGGAAAGGCCAAAGAAUUAGUACAUCAACCUUGCAUAAUGCAUGCCUACCACCUAUAUAACAUCUUUACCCUUCAAUAGUUAAUAACAUUGUCUUUAAGAAUCAUUUAUUCUCAAUGAGGACUGCUGAUUGAGUUAAUAAUUGGGUACAAUCUAAGGUUUCUGUUUUAGUUUAUGCCAGUGUUUCAACCAGAUACAAGAGCAGAGCCAAUGAAGUUUUCUUUGUAUGUUUAGGAAUGCUCUUGGCUGUUUCUAUUUUAUGGUAUGUGACAAUCUCCUGUUUGACUGGAAUAUCACCCUUUGCUAAAGAAGUUGUUUACAGUUGCUUAGAUACCAAGGAACUUGAUGUACUACUCAUUGUACACAAACUCUUUGGUUGGGAAAUAGACUUGAUAUGGGCUUGUCUGCUUUUGAGUCAUUAGGCAAGCCUACUGUAUCUGUGAUUUGUCAGGAAAGACUAUCUGUAAAUAACUUGUCCAAAACACUGUUUCUUUAAGUUCUAUAAAAAUGAGGGUUCUUCAGUAUGUUUAGAAUUAAUUCUUCAGUUCUUCCUCAUGAACUAGUUCAAAAUUACUAGCAGAGGUCAUAUUUUUUUGUAGUUCAAAAAAUUGAUAAUUUAUGUUUUCAGGCAUGUUUCCAUUUAAUUUGUGAUUAAUCAUUCCUGUUCAAAGCCUUUCAUCCUUAUGUGUAGUAUGGGAAAAAAAUUGGUAGAAGCUUGCUGCAGCAGAAUUUUCUUCUUUUCCUCUCUUUAAACUGAUCUAUGUCAUAUUAAACUUUAAAACUUAGCUCUUUUGAUGUAAUUUUCAGUGGCCAAUUCUGCUGGUUCAUUCAUUCAAUUCGUUACUAUUCAGUCCAGAAUAUUGACAACCAAGGAACCUAAGUGAAUUCAGCUGCAACAAGUUGUUCAAGCGUCUCUCCCCUUUAAAAUUAAUGUUCAUUAAGGAAAUGUAUUUCAGGUGUAUAAGGAGAGAAGGAAAAAGACAUUCCCCCCAAUGGAAAUGUGCUUCUUAUGAGCUUUUGGUUACCCAUUACAACAACACAAGCAAUGUUUGAGCUGUUUGAGGAAAACCGCCAUUUCAUCAUCAAAUUUCAGACCAAAGGCUCAUGGGCCUCAUGUUUUCAUUUUAAUUUAUUUCUGGUUAUGCAGGGUGAUUCUCGUAGUUAAGUGCUGCACCAAAAAGGAGGGUGAAUAGAGGACCCUUAAACAUGCUCCUUUUCUAUAGAAAUAAUUUUGUCUUGCGUUGUUCCUGAUGGGUUCUCAGGCAGCUGGGGGCAUGCUUCUGUGAUCCAGGUGCCUCCUUGGAGUAUCACUUCUCCCUGGGACUCCCCUCAGCCUCAGCCUUUCUGGUGCAAUGUGCAAUGUAGGUGCUCCACGCGACGCGGUGCGCGAUGCGCGAAGGCCCUCUGAUGGGGGAAAAGGGGGUUGCACAGCCCAUAGGUCCCAAAGUAAAAAACGCUUGUUUAGGGAUCCUCUUUACCCCCUCCCAUUUGGGCCCUACUUACCAGAAUCACCCUGUGGUACACCUUUCUAGACACACUAAAAUCAACGUUUUUGCUGUUGGUUUUUCUUUGUCGAAUAUUUUUAAUCUAGGAAAUUUCCCUUUGCAAUCACAUUUAAAGUUGCAGAACACAUUUGCUCAGCUGUACAAAGUUAUAGUGUUUUACUGUAAAAAAAGUUAUUUCUAUUCAUCAGACACUGCGGUGUUUGUGAUUUUCUAUUUAAAGUAGAUCAGUAGUGAAAUCUAGUCAGGUAAUAUUUCAAGUUUCUGACAUUAUUAUAAAAAUUCAAUCCCAUGGGGUUUUACUGCAUAGAUUUUUUUAAGGAAUUCAAGUUUAAGAAAAUUCAUAAUUUAAACUCUUCAUACUUUAUGUAGGGAAAUACACAUGUAACGGUAUAUUUUGUAUUUGAGAAUUUGAACACAACUUCUUUAUAGUCGCAACCACAGCAAUAUGCUAGAUUUCAACAUAAGAAAUACUCAAAAAAACAAUUCUGCAAUCUCCGGAGCAGAAAAAGACUUUCGAAACAAAAUGCUAUCUUAGGAAAUAUACAACGCUUGCUAACUUGGAUUCUCUUUUAUUCCAUUUGAUCUUGAAACUUUUUGUUUUGUGAGUGGUUGUGCUGACAAACAGCAUAAAUGUUGCUAGCCAUUUGCUGUACUUAACUUCUCAAAGUGGUAGGAUUUCACUCCAUAACAGUUGUGAGAUGACCAUCAUUUGCUCAUCUAUAUUUUUUUUCUCUCUCUUCUCCUUAAUCAAUCACCUCUGUAUAAGUUUGAAAACUAAAUCUGAAACAGCUAAACUGGUUCCUUUCCAAACUUUUGUUAUACCUGGAUUAGUAACUCAGCAUUUAUUUAACUGUUUCUUGAUCUUAAUUUUUCAAUAUAAGUACGGUUUAUGUAUGAGACAUAUCUGCUUUGGAUGCCUUUAUAUAGAGUUAAAAAUCGGAAUAUUUAGAUUCGUUAGUAUGUAAAAGGCACAGAGAAGGAAAUAGGUCCUAAAAAGAAAAAAGGUUGGAGUGGAACUCCUGACAAGUGUUCAGUUAGCUCACAAAUUUUCAGGCUGUACUAUACGUUCUAUCAGAAACACUCCUUAGCUAAAAUUUAUAUUUUUCUACAUCUUAAGGUCAAAAUCACACAGUUCUAAACAAGUCGAGGACAGGGUUGUAAUAAGGUUGCAGUGUCUUAUUGUUUCAUGUCAAAUUUUUAAUUCUAUUGGUUGGUCCUUAAUUUAUUGAUUCUAAUGGUGUUUGCAAAGCUUGGUUUGCUCUCCAAUAUUCCACAGAUGAUAGUUAGCAGCUGUGUUGUGAGUUAAAAUUCUUCAAGAUACAAUUUUAAUCUGGUCAACUCUCUUUGCAUCUUGUAAAAUUUUGUAGAUAAUAAUAUUGAUUAAUUUUGUGCUAUAAUGUACUUAAGAGUUCCUGUUAACAGAGGCAAAGUUUUUGCAACUUUGCAAGGUGUUUCUUUUUGCUGACACUUUGACAUCGAAGCAAAUAGCAGUGUCUUGCCACGAGCUCGAUGUAUGUUAUUAUGCAUUGAAAAGGCUGUGUGUUUCCUCUUCUUCCUAACACUCUUUUCCAAAUGUUGAUUUCUGCUUGUCUCAAGUGGAGUGAUCUUGUGACUUAAAAAUUAGAGCAUCCAUUUCUGUAACAUCUGUCACAAAAAAGGGAAUUCUGCAUAGUGCUGGAUGGUUCAGAUGGUAUAUUCUUUUAGAGAUUAAGCUCCAAUUGAGGGGUGGAUUUUUCUAGUAGGGAAAGGAGAAAUGGAGCAAGUUGAUUAAUAAUUUUUUACAGUAGUUUUGUAGCUUUCUUUCUCAAAUGAACCAUAUGCACAUCUUAGCGUGUGUGAGGAAACCAUAACACCAAUUAAAUUUUAAUAACAUUUUCAAUUUUUGGAUAAAGUUAGUUGAUAGGUAUCAACCCUCGCUGGUGGUUAUUUUAAAAGCCAACUCCAGUGAAUUUUUCAUUUUAAAUGUAGAUCUUUAUGUAUUCAGAUGUAGCUCAAUGCGCUUCAUUCAUGAAACACUUUUUCUAAUUUUUCAUUUUGUGGUCUUCUCUUAUCUUUGUCCUGAAGCUCUCAGAAAAUUAGUAGUAUUUUUAUCAAUAUUGAUCUCCAUUAUCCAUUUGUACUUAAAAGCAAGCACUCUCUAGUCUAGCUUAGGUCGCUUUUUAAUAAAUUUAUGAGGACAGCGGUGUUCUUAAUGAGCAGUCAAACUUAUAUUUCUAGGGCAUAAAUUGCUCCAAAUUAUGGUUGCUUCUGUUAACUUCCGAUAAUUUCAGAAGUCAUCCUCUUCAUGUCCUGUUCUGUGUUAAUUAUGUGAUGGUUGGAGCUGUAAGGAUUUUAUUUCUGAGUGUUUCAUAUGAUUUCUACCUGAGUGAUCGUAUUAAGAUUUUCAAGUACCUGUACUGUGACAUUUUUAAUGGUGUGGUGGAAGGUGCUCUCUAUUCCAAAUUGCAAACACAUCAAUCAAUAUUUCAUGUACGUUCCUGCCUAUUUUUCUCCAUGCACCUUGAUGACUCUGACUCACAUAAGCAAGUUAUUUUGCAUUAUGCUUCUCAGAUUGACUGUUGGGUCAUCAUGGUGCUGCUCAGGCACCAUAACUGCAAUUUUGAGUCCAUCGUCUGCAACUUUAAAUGCCACACUGUGCUCAAAACUACUUUAUUGAGGUUUUAGAUUGUUUCUUUUUUUGGAGAUGCAAGUGACAUCUGCUUUCAAAUGUGAUGCAUACCUUUUGAAAAUGAAGGAUGGUAUGGAAGUGAUGUGGCUGAAUCAGUAAUUGGUGAAGGGAUAUAAGUUAACUCCAUCCUUGUACAUAAGUUGUUGAAUAUUGAAAAUUUUAUUCUUUAAAGCAGUUAUACUUUAAUUUUUUCUUACUGAGUAGUUUUAUGUAAUGUAUAAUAAGAUUCAUACAUAUGCUUCUUCAAAUAAUUUAAUCUCUUUAAGUGCAAGCAAGUUUAAAGCAAGUACACAAUGUCUACCUAAACAUAAGUAAAUUUUUAUGAACAUAGUAAGUCAGGGGAUCUGCCUGAAAACAAGGCAAUAGUUUGGGGUCUGUAGUUCAAUGCUGCUAAUAAACUCCCCACUUGGUCAAGAUUUGAUUUGUUGUGUGGCAUUUUAUCUACAACAAUGUUACUGAAAGUCACUUGCCCCUGCCAAAGUAUUUUAUUCACACUACAGUUCUCUUCCUGUGGACUUUUCUUUGAAACAUUCAUUUCUUCAAUGCAAAUAUGAUUGGUUCUGGCAGCUUUCCUUAGCAGUUCUCUUGCACUUCAAAUUUCUUUAUUAAGGAAGUCAAAACCCGUGAGAGUGCUUUAUUGUCUUCAGAUGAUGUAAGUUAAUAUUUAUUCUCCUUUGUGCCAACAGAAGUACAUGUAUACUCAAAACCUUGUAUUUCACUUCUGUUUAUUUAAAGGAAUGGCUUUGGUUUGUAAGGAACCUUGCAUUCCCAAGGUUUUGAAGCAAUAAAUACUAUCAUUUAUUAAAUAUUUACAGUGGGGUAGUUUUGCUAAAACUGGAUGUUUAACUUACAACGCAGUUCUAUCUGGUGUUUUUGAAGGCCAAAGGCAAUAUUUCACCCUGUUUAUGAGGUGCUGAUGAAUUUGAACUUAUUUUUGUUGUUGUCACAGCUCGUUAGCUUUGUUAGGUUCUGUUGUUGAUGUAUGAAAAAUUAUAUUUUAAGCAAAAGUUUCUGGAAUAAGUUUACGAACGAUUCUUUGUUGCACAUAUUUUUUGUAUCAUACAUUAUUUUAAGUGAAAAACCAAGUUAGCAAAAACAUGCAUAAGCAUGGAUUACUGGCAACUAACCCGAUGUCUAGUAAGAAUGUGAUUAAUUAUUAUUAUUAUAAAUGCUGCCGCAUUUUUAGUUCUAUUUCUUGGAUAAGUAUUAAUAAAAGCUAUUUGUGAAGCUUAAUGCUGUUUUGGGAGAACUGUGAUUCUUUUGGGAAUGGCUGACUAAACUUGUAAAUUGUGUACCUAUUUGGAAUUUUAAUAACUUGCGGGCAUGUUGUUUUCUUGUUAAGCUGCUUAUUUUAAAAUACCUUGCUUUUUCAGUAUUUGUUCAGUCAUCCAUGGAAAUUACACUAGUAGCUCCUAAGCUAGUCAUUUUUUUCCUCAAACUUUGUGAUUUUGUGACAGAAACUUUUAUUGUCCUACUAUAUUAUCAAAUUUUUAAACCUUCCUAUCACAAACAUGUAUUGUAGAUUCUUGGGCUGUUGAAAUAAAAAUGUAUCUUAUUUCUUCGAA
This 12233-nucleotide unclassified non-coding RNA is filed under the name Thrips palmi. RNAcentral's name for it is "calmodulin-binding transcription activator 1, transcript variant X5". The record is from RNAcentral. Lineage: Eukaryota; Metazoa; Arthropoda; Insecta; Thysanoptera; Thripidae.